GCCGAUAUAGCUCAGUUGGUAGAGCAGCGCAUUCGUAAUGAAGGUCGCAGGUUCGACUCCUAUUAUCGGCACCA
Molecule: transfer RNA, 74 nt
Filed under: Salmonella enterica subsp. enterica
Lineage: Bacteria; Pseudomonadati; Pseudomonadota; Gammaproteobacteria; Enterobacterales; Enterobacteriaceae
Description: tRNA-Thr
Rfam family: tRNA
About the family: Transfer RNA (tRNA) molecules are approximately 80 nucleotides in length. Their secondary structure includes four short double-helical elements and three loops (D, anti-codon, and T loops). Further hydrogen bonds mediate the characteristic L-shaped molecular structure. tRNAs have two regions of fundamental functional importance: the anti-codon, which is responsible for specific mRNA codon recognition, and the 3' end, to which the tRNAs corresponding amino acid is attached (by aminoacyl-tRNA synthetases). tRNAs cope with the degeneracy of the genetic code in two manners: having more than one tRNA (with a specific anti-codon) for a particular amino acid; and 'wobble' base-pairing, i.e. permitting non-standard base-pairing at the 3rd anti-codon position.
Source: RNAcentral